AUUAGGAAUAAGUGAAUGAGAUUACUUGGAUAGUAUUUAUAUAUUUGAUCUGGUGGUGUAUGGUUAUUAUGCACUUCUCUUGACUUUAUUUCUAUGUGUACAUGUUAGAUUAGUUCGCUCUUGACAACCAGAAUGAUAGAAGCUUUUCAGAUCUUCUGAUGUUAAAAUUUUAUGUUGAGUUCACACAACUAUAUAAUUUUACCCAACAAGUUGUCGCCACAUUUUGGGAUUGUGUUUGUUCAUGGGCGUCUCUUCAUGAGAUGUAGCGUCACAUGCAUGGAAAUGGAGGAUCCAUAGAUCGGCAUGUCCAGGAUACAAUUUUUCUACUUCAGGCUGCUUCCACGUAAGUCAAAUAUGAGGCAUUGUCAACCCAUGAAAUGGCAAAUUCCGGUCGCACAUGUGUAUAUUGUUUUUCAAAUACGUUGUGUGCGGAAUUCUUGUUGUGUUUAUAUAAUUGGGUACUGAAUUAAUUGAUGUAUAGGAAAUAAAGAGGCUGGAGUUAGUUGGUUGCAGAAUGUAUGAAAGAAGGAUAUCUUCCAACGCUUAAUAAGGUGGUGGAGAGAGAGAUAGAGCGUACGGACAAUUAAGCAUUUUGGUUUACAAAGAAGGAUAUCUACAAAUUAUCCUUCUUUCCUUGAUUGAUGCCCUGUUGCUAUGCACGGACAACUAAUUAGUUGUAUAUAUUUAAGUAGUAAGAUUUUGGUUUACUUGAGCUAGGGCUACAAGGAAAAAGGAGCAACACUUGGAGAAGAAGCGAGCCAAAAUAUUGUGUACUGGUACAUUUCAUUACAACUAAGGUAGACGCUUAUUCCAUGUGAUUAUUUAAUUUUGACCCACUCUAUCUUUUGGUUUCCGGGAACUCAUCUCUCUAGAUUGUGGUGAAGCAAGGGGGCGAGUUUUUUAUCGAUCUGAAGCAAGGGGUGUUGCUUAUAUCCGAGUUGUUGCAAGGUGCCUUUCGUCCUCAGUUGUGAAUUCAAUGAAUAUAAAUGUAACCCACACAAAAGUAAUAUACAUGUACAUUAUACAUACAACUGUUGAUGCAUGUACCACUAAUGAUGGCACCUGCUGUGUGUGCUUACAAGUGUAUGUGUAUAAACCAAUAAUCUGUAAUUUGGUUUGUGCAAUCUGAUGAAAUAUAUACAUGUGAAAUUUGAA
RNAcentral lists this long non-coding RNA (1155 nucleotides) under Triticum aestivum (bread wheat). RNAcentral describes it as "long non-coding RNA (TAES_LNC019993)". Lineage: Eukaryota; Viridiplantae; Streptophyta; Magnoliopsida; Poales; Poaceae. The record is from RNAcentral.